GAUGAACGCUGGCGGCGUGCCUAAUACAUGCAAGUCGAGCGAACAGACGAGGAGCUUGCUCCUCUGACGUUAGCGGCGGACGGGUGAGUAACACGUGGAUAACCUACCUAUAAGACUGGGAUAACUUCGGGAAACCGGAGCUAAUACCGGAUAAUAUAUUGAACCGCAUGGUUCAAUAGUGAAAGACGGUUUUGCUGUCACUUAUAGAUGGAUCCGCGCCGUAUUAGCUAGUUGGUAAGGUAACGGCUUACCAAGGCGACGAUGCGUAGCCGACCUGAGAGGGUGAUCGGCCACACUGGAACUGAGACACGGUCCAGACUCCUACGGGAGGCAGCAGUAGGGAAUCUUCCGCAAUGGGCGAAAGCCUGACGGAGCAACGCCGCGGGAGUGAUGAAGGUCUUCGGAUCGUAAAACUCUGUUAUUAGGGAAGAACAAAUGUGUAAGUAACUAUGCACGUCUUGACGGUACCUAAUCAGAAAGCCACGGCUAACUACGU
RNAcentral lists this ribosomal RNA (496 nucleotides) under uncultured bacterium. RNAcentral's name for it is "partial 16S ribosomal RNA". It matches the Rfam family "Bacterial small subunit ribosomal RNA", at positions 28 to 506 of the family's 1533-position model. The record is from RNAcentral.